CCUACGGGGGGCAGCAGUGAGGAAUAUUGGUCAAUGGACGAGAGUCUGAACCAGCCAAGUAGCGUGAAGGAUGACUGCCCUAUGGGUUGUAAACUUCUUUUAUAAAGGAAUAAAACGAGGCACGUGUGCCUUUUUGCAUGUACUUUAUGAAUAAGGCUCGGCUAACUCCGUGCCAGCCGCCGCGGUAAUACGGAGAAUCCGAGCGUUAUCCGGAUUUAUUGGGUUUAAAGGGAGCGUAGAUGGGUUGUUAAGUCAGUUGUGAAAGUUUGCGGCUCAACCGUAAAAUUGCAAUUGAUACUGGCAGUCUUGAGUACAGUUGAGGUAGGCGGAAUUCGUGGUGUAGCGGUGAAAUGCUUAGAUAUCACGAAGAACCCCGAUUGCGAAGGCAGCUUACUAAACUGUGACUGACAUUGAUGCUCGAAAGUGUGGGUAUCAAACAGGAUUAGAUACCCCUGUAGUC
Molecule: ribosomal RNA, 460 nt
Filed under: uncultured bacterium
Lineage: Bacteria
Description: partial 16S ribosomal RNA
Rfam family: Bacterial small subunit ribosomal RNA
Source: RNAcentral